GAGAUUGCUUCCUCUCUAGCCUCAAGGCUCCGUCCUCUGAAAGCCACGCUUGGGAUCUUCAGGUAACAGAAUAUUGGCAUGUAGCACUACUCAAAACAUAGAAAGCAGAAACAAAUCAAUUCUGCCUGGAGGACCUCCCCGAUCUCAACACCCAGUGGUUUUGACAGAAUUGAUAGAGAAAUAGAAACUUCAAGCAACCUUGCGAUGGAGGCAGAAGAAGGAUUCUAUGAUUGGAAACCUGCCAGACUCACCGGCUACGGAGAAGAAAGGCUAAAUCCACCAGACUGUUGGAUGCACCUAAAACAAAUUGCCCUCUGUGGUUCGGUUUCUUAUUAAUAGACUCAUAGAAAUGCACAAGAACUGAAAACUCGAUAGGGAAACCAAAAAAUAAAAAUUAAAA
RNAcentral lists this long non-coding RNA (400 nucleotides) under Pongo abelii (Sumatran orangutan). RNAcentral describes it as "lincRNA". Lineage: Eukaryota; Metazoa; Chordata; Mammalia; Primates; Hominidae. The record is from RNAcentral.